RNAcentral lists this long non-coding RNA (1971 nucleotides) under Homo sapiens (human). Its description in RNAcentral is "HSALNT0334154". Lineage: Eukaryota; Metazoa; Chordata; Mammalia; Primates; Hominidae. The record is from RNAcentral.
AGGUUUAUUGCCUGGCUAUAGACAGCCCGAGAAAGAAAGUUAGCUUCCCACCCCCGGCAGCUGCAGUGAUUGGAAAACGAGCCUGAGCCUUUUCACCGAAAAGAAUAUAUCAUUAUCCGUUGGGUUCGCCCUACUUCCCUGUUAAGAAUCACCUGAAGUGCCUAAAAAUCCGCGAGUUUCAGGGCUUUUCCCUGGAAAUAAUGAUUUAGAACGUCCUGGGGGAGGGCCUAGGAGUCUGUGGGUUUAAUAAGCACCUCCAGGAUUUGUGUCUUCGGGUAAGGUGGCGUAAUACUAAAGAGCUGGUAUUCAAAAGUUUCUUUCCAAGAAAUUGCUUCUGUUACCCUGUUACGUUUAUCCAAAUAUUCUCUGUUAGUUGCUCUUUUAGAGUUGAAUUUCUCCAGCAGCUCCCACAAAUAAGCAGUUUUUCCUGGAAGGGGAAAUGUAACAGUUUAAGAGGGGGCUGGCUAGUCUUGAUUUUCGCAGUACACCGUCACCCCACCACCUCCUCAGCCAGUGAGCCACAGAUGUGUGUGGGGUGUCCAUUAUCAGCCUGUUCAGCUGGAUCGGUUUGUGACCCUAAAGUGAAUCUCCAGACUGAGUAGGAUGAUAGUGUAGGCAGAAGCCUUUUAAAGGAGGGAACUGGGGUGUGGAACGAGCAAGUUUCAGAGCCUCACUGGGCAGGCCUGGGCAGCCAGAAGACUGUGGGAAUACACAGAAGGUGGCUUUUUGUGCACCAUGGGCUGUGGCAGGAGAACUUGUUAUUCCCACCCUAGUAUCAGAAAUGCUCCAAGAGAGAGCAAAGGUUAAAUACCGUGGUGUGUUCCUCCAGGUUCACCGUGGGAAAAACCCUUUGCUCAGGGGCUGUCUGGCAGAAGGUGCUGGCAUCCACACCCUUGUCAGAACCCUCCAUAGACUGAGCAGCUAGAUCACCUAAGCUGAUGGAGCUUUCCUGCAAUACCAGACACUGGCAUCCAUGAAGCGAAGUCUUAGGGUGGGCAUUUUGUGGAAAAGAGAGAGGAAAGAAGGAUUUCUUGGGGUUAACAGAAAGUGGAUGUAGAUAAAGGGAAUUCUCCAGUCUUGCACCGCUAACAUGGUGCAAUAUUCACAAACAGACAUGAUUCGUGCUUGUGGACAAAACUGACCUCGGAGCUGAGUUCUAGAACCUGCUGCAAGAGUCUGCCUUUGGGAUCCAUGGGAGGGCUCACACCAAGGUCACAGUCUUCCCCAGGCUGCUCCCAGUCCACAGCACAUGGCAGGAGUACUGGAGCUGGGCCACUUCUGCUCAAGUCAAGCAUUGAAAAAUCCUGGAACUUUCAAUAUUUAUGUAGCCAAAGUGUCUCUCUUGCUCACUCACUUGCUUGCUUGUGUACCACUAAUUGAGCAACUACUAUGGGCCAGAUGCUCUGGAAAAUGUUGUUCUGAAGAGGAGUACUAAUCUUCACCAGUGGUGCACCUAGCUGUAUUUUGCACAUUAGGAAACAGACCCAGAGGCACACCUCCCAGAUGCAUCUUCCUCAUGGGGUUGUCGCAGGGUUUAAGAAAAUGAACUCAUAUAAAGGGCUCAGAAUAGUGUCUGGAUCACAGAACUCUGAAGAAUUUAUGUCAGUGAUUCUGAAGUGAGAAUGGAACAUGGAUCCAACCCCUCUAAGGCAGAAGAGAUGUGAGCAGAUUACCUUCUCUGUCCUUAAAAGGAGUGGCCCUGCAUUCCCUGAGAGGGCAUAGCUGGGGCAGUCAUCUGGACCCACCAGACAGGAGCUGAAGCUUGAUAAAAGGUGCCUGGUUCCAGUGACUAUGGAGCAGCCUGCCAGCACUAGAGGAGUCACAGAGAUGUCUAGAUGAGUCACAGAGACAUUUACAUGACAGAAAAAUAAACAACUAUGUUGUUUAAGCCAUUAUUAGUCAGUCUUUCAGUUCAAGCAGCUACACGUGUAUUUUAAUUAAUACCAAGACAGCUCUGUAAGUUUGAUCCAU